RNAcentral lists this ribosomal RNA (496 nucleotides) under uncultured bacterium. Its description in RNAcentral is "partial 16S ribosomal RNA". It matches the Rfam family "Bacterial small subunit ribosomal RNA", at positions 28 to 506 of the family's 1533-position model. The record is from RNAcentral.
GACGAACGCUGGCGGCGUGCCUAAUACAUGCAAGUUGAGCGCUGAAGGUUGGUACUUGUACCAACUGGAUGAGCAGCGAACGGGUGAGUAACGCGUGGGGAAUCUGCCUUUGAGCGGGGGACAACAUUUGGAAACGAAUGCUAAUACCGCAUAAAAACUUUAAACACAAGUUUUAAGUUUGAAAGAUGCAGUUGCAUCACUCAAAGAUGAUCCCGCGUUGUAUUAGCUAGUUGGUGAGGUAAAGGCUCACCAAGGCGAUGAUACAUAGCCGACCUGAGAGGGUGAUCGGCCACAUUGGGACUGAGACACGGCCCAAACUCCUACGGGAGGCAGCAGUAGGGAAUCUUCGGCAAUGGACGAAAGUCUGACCGAGCAACGCCGCGUGAGUGAAGAAGGUUUUCGGAUCGUAAAACUCUGUUGGUAGAGAAGAACGUUGGUGAGAGUGGAAAGCUCAUCAAGUGACGGUAACGACCCAGAAAGGGACGGCUAACUACGU